UGUCAUCGUAGAGAAUGAAAAUCCAGAGGACAGGGGAAGGCAGAGAGACUUGUUCACAGCGUCGAGAUGGAAUCGUUCACAACUUCGAAUUAAGGGUGAAGCGACGUGGGCGGAAUUCGAUCCGAUCGCCACGGCCUCGACGCCCAUAAACAUCCUGGAUCCUGAUCCUCUCCCAAAGCACGGCUUCCAUCUGAGAUCGCCUGAGCUCGUCUCCCUACGAACUCCUCCAUAAUCGCCAGGCUCCAUCUUUCCAUCCCGACUCCGUGCGCGAAUUUUCCUGUGGUGGAGAGGCUGAUCGAUGAACGCCGCAGCGCCGGCGGCGGCUCGGGGUGGCAUCCCGCGGCAACCGUAUGACAGUGAAACUUGGUCAGCUUCUACUGUUUGUCAGCUGGGUACGUCUUCAUCACUAGUCGUUUUUGAAGUCGGAAGCGAUUGGGCAUCUGUUUCUGGUAAGUGCUCUUUCCCUGCGGGUUCAGUCAUUCAGGUAAUCUGCAUUCUAGGUGCGUUCUUAGCAUUCAGGUGAUUGCAGUCGACGGUGAACUCACGAACGCGCACACGAACACAAGUUGUGGAACACCGGUGCUAGGUGCUGCUGUAAACGGACAGCUUUUCUCCUUGUAUUAUCAGCGAAGUAAUCUGCCUCGUUUGGACCGCACCUACACAGUACCGGCCGUGCCAUCCCACGACCACGCAGACGCCAAGUUUGCGCGGUCGUGGGAUGACGCGGUAGGCAAUGCGCAAGUGCUGUCCAAAUGAGACACAUUAGUUGCUAAUUUAAGAUGUAGUUUCACUUUAAAUAGUUUAAGAAUACAAGGAUAAAAGCUGCUUGUUUAUAGUAGCACCAAAUAACCAUAUUCAACCUUGUGUCCGUGUGUGUUGGUGAGAUAACUGGCGGUCAGAAUCGCGGUGAACUGAGGUCAGAGGGAGAGAAGCGGAGGGGGACUGAGGGGAAAGGCUGAACCAGAUGGGAGUAAGUGGGAACAAAGAUGGAGGUGAAGGUGUGGCAGAGACUGGUCGGCAUAGCCUUGGCGAUAAUGUGAGGCAAAGCAAAAUCAAGGGUUUAUGGGGUUUUAGGAUCAUUGUACGGUAUUUCCUCACCACUCACAAGCUAACAUGGAUCAUGCCUAUAGGAUAGCCCAAUUCAACCUUUUUAGGCAAAACGUUAUUCGUGGUUUUUUUCGAUGGGGAUGGGGUCAAUGCGAAAUAGCCUAAAAGUUACGCAAUGUUAAUUAUACGUGCGCUCGAGUGCUGCUGGCGCCGACAACGGCAAGUCCGCGCGCGUGGUAGUGGUUCCCGAGCCCGCGCAAAGACCGCGCGUGGUGUUUGAGUUUUUUUUUUCUUUUUUCUUUUUCUUUUUUCUCCAUUCAAUUAUUUUUUUAUCGUACCAUCUGUACUGUAUGGAUAUCGUUCGUGUACAGCUUAUGUUCAUAAGUUGUCUAACAACAUUUUUAUAAAAAUUGUGACAAAAAUAUUUGCAUAAAUUGUGUAUAUUAUGUUCAUAAGUGCUGCUAAAAUUGGUAGCAUUUCUGGAUAUAUUGAUCAACUAUUCAGAGGAAAAUUUACAAGCUAAACACGGUUACUAGCCUGCCCUAUAUGCAUAGUACGCACACUGAUUGAUCAUGCGAUCCCAUGAUCACGAACUUGCCACAUAUGACUCGGACAGCUCCAGCGUGAACUCUUAUGCGUUGAGCCUAGAAACUCAUACAACCACAACAACAAGACAUGAAUCGAGAUGAAACACUAACAAAACAAAAUGUAAACAAAGUAAAUAAAGUGAUAUAGCUAAUUAGUGACAUGGUAGAGAGACCUGAGGAUCAUACGGGCAUCAAAACUCUUGGGUUGAUACGCAUGGAUCAUAUAUGGACUCUCCAAAACAAAAGGCCGACUUGGGUAGUGUUGUGCCUUUUAAAAAGGGGGCGAGUAAAGCGGAGACGGCGACGGUGACGCCAAGAAGAGCAUCGGCGCGGGCGCCGGCACCGGGGAGGAGCAUCAGGCCAAGAAGGUCGAGCUGUGAGGAGAGAAGUGAGGAGGGCGACUCUGCUCCCCGCGUGCUUGUUGUCGGCAUGAUUUGGGAGUCCACGUGUAUCCUGCAUGUCUGCUGUCAUGUAAGUGUGCAAGGUUAACUCGAGAAUAAACGAUUUCUGAUCUUCCUUGCGUUUAGGGAAAAAAAAUCUUGUGACCUUGGCAAACGGCAUGAGCCCAAAUCCUCGAUCCGAGAAAAAAUGAUAUGAGUAACUUGAGAGGCAAUAUGGGUCCACCUGUCAACUGUCAUUGUUGGGAAUGAGAAUUGAGAGGGCAGGGGAAGGCAGAGAGGACCUGUUCACAGCGUGCAACUUGGAAUGGUUUAGCGACGUGAGCGGAAUUCGAUCCGAUCGCCACGGCCUCGACGCCCAUAAACAUCCUGAAUCAUGUUCCUCUCCCAAAGCACGGCUUCCAUCUGAUCGCCUAAGCUCUUCUCGGCCGACGAUGAACGCCGCAGCGCCGGCAGCGGCUCGGGGUGGCAUCCGGUGGCAACCGUGUAGCAGUGAGACUCGGUUUUUGUUUCCACUGUUUCUCAGGGUACGUCUUCACUCGUCGUUUUAGAAGUCGGAGGAAGCAAUCGCGCAUCUAUGCAUCCGGUAACUGCUCUCUGCCUGUACGUUCAGUCAUUUGAUAAUCUGUGUAUUCGAGGUGUGUAGCCUUUGGUUCCUGUGAUUUGUUCUGAUUACUAGCAGCCGAAAAGCUUAUUUGCUGCCUUAGCUAUUAAAAAUAACUUAAAAUACCCUUCUAUUUGUAUCUAAAUUAUCCACAUAUGAUGUUAUUGAAAAUAAUCUAAAGUAAACACCUAAUCUUAAUACAAUUAUCUGCAUAUUCAUUAUACGGAAAUGUCCAAAAGUGAAUCAAUAUAUGAUUAUAAUGAAUUGCAUGAGAAGAUCAGCAUCAUCAAGUUCAAGUGAACCGUGCAAGUAUUAAGGGGAGAUUAUUGUUAGAUAAUAUUGGCACUGUUGAAAAUUCUAACCACCAAGUUAGCAUACUGCAUUUCAUUUUCCUUGAUUCACCUAAUGUGCUCGGAUGUAGCUGAAUCGAGAUCGUCUCUACAUGUCCAAGGCAUGCACGUUCAUGCAGGGGCUUUCCUAGUUUCGUUCACUUGUAACACGCGAAACGCCUUUGAGCUUUGUGUGAUAUGGCAAGGCUUGUGCGAGGUAGCGUGGCAGACGUCACGCGCGUCUCGUGGUGAUUAUGGCCAACACUUCAAGUCCUAAUGUUUAUUCUAUUUAAAGCAAUAGAGUCAAGAAAACGCUGCAGUUUCUUAUUUGCAACACCAAUCUAUAGAGUCCAUGGUGUUCUUGUGUUCAAGAGCUCGUCUUCAUCGUCUUGGCGUCAAAUAGAACAUACGCUACAGACUUCAAGUAGUGGCCAUGAUUAGGAAAGUCCUGCAUGAACGCGCAUGCAUCGGACAUGUACAGAUGCUCUCAAUUCAGCUAUAACCGAGCAAACUACAGAAAUGUGGGCUUAGUUCAGCUCUAAGUUAAUAUGCAAUCAGUAGGGAGCAAUUCCUCUUUUUUUAUAAAAAAAAGAUUAGUUCUCAUCUAUUGAACUGCCAGUGAACUAAUUUAGAAGAACCAGUCUACACUCUACACGCUACCCCAAAUCAUCCCUCUCGAAGACACUAUCCAUCUCAUCUUUUUUAAGAACCCGUAUAGAAUCCGUGUGUAAUAUCCCAAGAGUUCCGAACUUCUAGUUCUCGAAUGGCCCCGGGCUAAGGUGACCCAUUCUCACUCUCUAGCGUAUCCCUUGAUUAGCUACCUCACUUUAUUUACCUAUUUUCUUUCUAUUUUGUUUUGUUGGUAUUUCAUCUUGAUUUAUGGCUCCGUUGUAAGCAGUGGUCGUAUCAGUUAACAGGCUCAACGCAUGCGAGUUCAUGCGGGGGCAGUCCGGCUCAUGCAUGGCAUGUUCUUAGUCGUGGGAUGGCAUGAUCGAUCGUGUGUGCGUGCCGUGCAAAUAGGGCAGGCUAUCCUUCCCUAGAUGUGUGGUACCCAGGCACGAAUAACUGCGCUAUCCCAUAACCACGAAUGUGCCACGACUCUGACAGCUCCCGCGUCAACUCUCGUACGUUGAGCCUACAAACCAUACAGCCACAAUAACAACGGAGCCAUGAAUCGAGAUGAUGAAACACUAAUGAAACAAAAUAUAAACAAAAGAAAUAAAGUGAGAUAACUCAUCAGUGAUGCAGACGUAUGCUAGAGAGGAAUGAGAAAUUGGCCACCUUAGCCCGAGGGCUGAACAUGCAUCAGAACUCGAGUUGAUAUGCACAGAUCAUAAAUGAGAAAAAAGGACGAGUUAGAUAGUGUUGUGCCUCAAGGACUGAAUGGAGCUCGCCUGCAGCCAUGGCCGCUAGCUAGCCACGGUGCCACACCAUCACGUCGGGCAGCAGCGGUGGCUAUCUACCAGGCAUUCGUCGGAUUGUCCAUGUGAUGGGUCUGAUGAGCCAAAUUAAAAAUUAGGAUCGUGGUUUGAGAUCAAGAUAAAGAUUAAUCAUUGGGCAUUAGUACUAACGAUUUGCAAGUGUUUCAAAAUUGAACGUCUAAUGAUAGAGAUUUGCAUAUUUGAGCGAUUAAUUCUGGGGUUUUCGCUGCUUUGGGUAUUACUACAAAGGUUCAAUUGGGAAUAUAAUGCUGUCAAUGUGCGCGGUUCAUUUCUGAUGAUUUUGUUUCUAACCUUAAAAUGGUAACGAACUGAAUUACGAGGGAGAUUGCUCUUCGAUUCCUGACCUUACUGGUUGGGAAAUCGUAUGUGAGCUCGAGCAAAAUGGUUGUGCAAACAUGCAUACAUAUACAUGGAUUAAGAUAUCACAGUCCUGCGCAGUUGGCUGAGCUAAAUUUUGAAACACGUACGAAAACGAGAAAAAUGUAAGGCAGCACAGCGCAGUACUUCAGUUGCAGACUCAGUAGAUUUCAGUCAAUAACUGAAACUUAAACCCUUAUGAAAAAUGUUGUCGCUAUGGCUCUAGAUCUUUGCAAUUUUGUCAGGGAGCGUGUGCAUGAGCCUUUUGCCCAUGGUGGAUGUGUAUAACGUCCUUAUGGUUGUGCAAAUGUGCAACUAUGUCUAGUUGACUUUAUGAGUGAAUCCAUUUGUUACCUUUUUUAAAACAAUGAUGAUAUAUUUCUGACUUUUCCUAUGAGGAUGCAACAGACCACAACUAUUAUAGAAAGUAGCUACAUCUAUGAGGUUAGGUCUAUUGUUACACGAUCACCAGAUUACCCUAUUGUUAGUUAAAUGGUAUUUACUAUCGCUCACUAGAUUACCCUGUGCUCCUAACCUCCAGGAAGCUCUACGGGCCUUCAAUGACGAGUCACAUCUUUGGCAGAUGGCUGGAGCCAAAGGGCUUGCAGCCCUGGACUCAGGACGGGUGGCUGCAUAGAUUGUUAGAUAUGUUGUGGUCAGGUCUUAGUUGUGAGUGUUUUACUGUAAGAAUCUAUUGUCAAAACUCAAGCAUCCUUCACUCUGGUCCAAGGUGAUGUGAUGUUUCUUUUGUAAUUGGACCAUCAUUUCCUUCUCUUAGUACAAAGAUGCGCAGCUCUCUUGCGUGUUCGAGAAAAAAACUAGAUUACCCUGUUCAGUGCCCCAAUUGUUUCAGUCCUAGUAGUUUCAGUUGCUAAACCAGUUCUAGCUGCUUCUAAACCUGUAAAGAAUAUGUCAAUGAGAUAGCUAGGUGCAUGGUCAACAGACUUGCAUCUGGACUUGAUCAGGAAAUCUUAUUAGA
Setaria italica (foxtail millet) is the source of this 5743-nucleotide long non-coding RNA. RefSeq lists it as uncharacterized. The record is from RefSeq and is a predicted model, not a curated record. The transcript has 3 exons. Lineage: Eukaryota; Viridiplantae; Streptophyta; Magnoliopsida; Poales; Poaceae.